CAUCCUCAUUCUUCAUCUCAAACUCUGCCCUAUAAAUACAGCUCUGAAAACAGACGUCAGACACAAAUUACUCUGCUUACUGCAUCGGGUGAGAACUUUUCACUGCACUUGUAAACAAGACAAAAUGAGUGACCCCAAAGCCCAGGGAAAAGGCCAAGAACAUGGACAUGGACAUGGAAAAGGCCAAGAACAAGGGAAAGGAAAAGGCCAAGAACAUGGACAUGGACAUGGAAAAGGCCAAGAACAAGGGAAAGGAAAAGCACCACCUCCCUAAUAAAUAAUGAAUCAUUAUUCUGUGGUCAUUUUUAAGAGAUAAAAAUGUCUUUAAUAAACUAAAAUAAAAAACAA
Long non-coding RNA from Haplochromis burtoni (Burton's mouthbrooder), 348 nucleotides. RefSeq lists it as uncharacterized. Lineage: Eukaryota; Metazoa; Chordata; Actinopteri; Cichliformes; Cichlidae. The transcript is spliced from 4 exons. The record is from RefSeq and is a predicted model, not a curated record.